RNAcentral lists this ribosomal RNA (442 nucleotides) under uncultured bacterium. RNAcentral describes it as "partial 16S ribosomal RNA". It matches the Rfam family "Bacterial small subunit ribosomal RNA", at positions 338 to 795 of the family's 1533-position model. The record is from RNAcentral.
CCUACGGGAGGCAGCAGUGGGGAAUAUUGGGCAAUGGGCGCAAGCCUGACCCAGCAACGCAGCGUGAAGGAAGAAGGCUUGCGGGUUGUAAACUUCUUUUGUCAGGGAAGAGUAGAAGACGGUACCUGACGAAUAAGCCACGGCUAACUACGUGCCAGAAGCCGCGGUAAUACGUAGGUGGCAAGCGUUGUCCGGAUUUACUGGGUGUAAAGGGCGUGUAGCCGGGUUGACAAGUCAGAUGUGAAAUCCUGCGGCUUAACCGCAGAACUGCAUUUGAAACUGUUGAUCUUGAGUACUGGAGAGGCAGACGGAAUUCCUAGUGUAGCGGUGAAAUGCGUAGAUAUUAGGAGGAACAACAGUGGCGAAGGCGGUCUGCUGGACAGCAACUGACGGUGAGGCGCGAAAGCGUGGGGAGCAAACAGGAUUAGAUACCCCAGUAGUC